AACGAACGCUGGCGGCGUGCUUAACACAUGCAAGUCGCACGUGAAAACCUUUCGGGGUGAGUAAAGUGGCGCACGGGUGAGUAAUAUAUAGGAACGUGCCUCUUGGUGGGGAACAACCACGGGAAACCGUGGCUAAUACCGCAUAAGAUCGCGAGAUGAAAGGGGGCCGUCUACUUGUAAGCUCCCGCCGAUAGAGCGGCCUAUAUCCCAUUAGCUAGUUGGUAGGGUAAAGGCCUACCAAGGCAACGANGGGUAGCUGGUCUGAGAGGAUGAUCAGCCACACUGGGGACUGAGACACGGUCCAGACUCCUACGGGAGGCAGCAGUGGGGAAUUUUGGACAAUGGGCGCAAGCCUGAUCCAGCCAUGCCGCGUGAGUGAAGAAGGCCUCGGUUGUAAGUAC
RNAcentral lists this ribosomal RNA (401 nucleotides) under uncultured bacterium. Its description in RNAcentral is "bacterial SSU rRNA". It matches the Rfam family "Bacterial small subunit ribosomal RNA", at positions 29 to 431 of the family's 1533-position model. The record is from RNAcentral.